AUCUCUCAUUUUAGCAAAAGGAAAGGAUAUUGAAGAAAGCUGAGAAAAGUCACAAGGAAAGAGUUGAGGAACUUAAUGGAAAACUAGACACACUCUCAGAGCAUUAUGACAUACCUAAAGUAUCCUGGACAAAAUAAAAAGAAAAACUGAUUAACUACUUGACUUGAUUCUCAUCUUUUACUCUCUCUCUCUCUUCCAAUUAUUGUUUCCAGUUCUGUUGUUUAGUAUGCUUACAUUUGGUGACCUACUCAUUAUAAAUUUAAGCUAUAAA
Molecule: long non-coding RNA, 271 nt
Organism: Amphimedon queenslandica
Lineage: Eukaryota; Metazoa; Porifera; Demospongiae; Haplosclerida; Niphatidae
Exons: 2
Source: RefSeq, a predicted model, not a curated record